RNAcentral lists this ribosomal RNA (795 nucleotides) under Salmonella enterica subsp. enterica serovar Oslo. RNAcentral's name for it is "partial 23S ribosomal RNA". It matches the Rfam family "Bacterial large subunit ribosomal RNA", at positions 397 to 1191 of the family's 2925-position model. Lineage: Bacteria; Pseudomonadati; Pseudomonadota; Gammaproteobacteria; Enterobacterales; Enterobacteriaceae. The record is from RNAcentral.
CUGUGAGCUCGAUGAGUAGGGCGGGACACGUGGUAUCCUGUCUGAAUAUGGGGGGACCAUCCUCCAAGGCUAAAUACUCCUGACUGACCGAUAGUGAACCAGUACCGUGAGGGAAAGGCGAAAAGAACCCCGGCGAGGGGAGUGAAAAAGAACCUGAAACCGUGUACGUACAAGCAGUGGGAGCACAGGUUUACCUGUGUGACUGCGUACCUUUUGUAUAAUGGGUCAGCGACUUAUAUUCUGUAGCAAGGUUAACCGUAUAGGGGAGCCGUAGGGAAACCGAGUCUUAACCGGGCGUUAAGUUGCAGGGUAUAGACCCGAAACCCGGUGAUCUAGCCAUGGGCAGGUUGAAGGUUGGGUAACACUAACUGGAGGACCGAACCGACUAAUGUUGAAAAAUUAGCGGAUGACCUGUGGCUGGGGGUGAAAGGCCAAUCAAACCGGGAGAUAGCUGGUUCUCCCCGAAAGCUAUUUAGGUAGCGCCUCGUGAACUCAUCUCCGGGGGUAGAGCACUGUUUCGGCUAGGGGGCCAUCCCGGCUUACCAACCCGAUGCAAACUGCGAAUACCGGAGAAUGUUAUCACGGGAGACACACGGCGGGUGCUAACGUCCGUCGUGAAGAGGGAAACAACCCAGACCGCCAGCUAAGGUCCCAAAGUCAUGGUUAAGUGGGAAACGAUGUGGGAAGGCCCAGACAGCCAGGAUGUUGGCUUAGAAGCAGCCAUCAUUUAAAGAAAGCGUAAUAGCUCACUGGUCGAGUCGGCCUGCGCGGAAGAUGUAACGGGGCUAAACCAUG